Brassica oleracea var. oleracea is the source of this 468-nucleotide long non-coding RNA. RefSeq lists it as uncharacterized. NCBI's taxonomy places the organism in Eukaryota, Viridiplantae, Streptophyta, Magnoliopsida, Brassicales, Brassicaceae. The transcript has 2 exons. The record is from RefSeq and is a predicted model, not a curated record.
CUUAGUUUUUAUAGUCUCCAUUUUCCCUACUCAUUUUGCUAAUAUCAAAAUCGUCUUUCUUCUCCAAUAAACUCUCAACACAUUAGAGGAUUUUGAUAUUAUGCUGCACUAAGAUUUUGGACUAUGACAAGUGAGGCACCAAAUUGGGCAUCAAAGAAGAACCGGAGAGAUCAAAGAAAUGCUGGAGGAAGAGAACAUCAAAAGUGCGGCAAGAAUUCCGGCAAGGUCAAAUCGGGACAUUUAUUCUUAAAAAAAUGAAAAGAAGACCCCUUUUUUCUCUCAAGAUCUUAAUCUAUCAUUGUAUUUGUUAUGAAUAACAUUUUUUAUAGUAAAGGUGUAAAAACCAAUACUUAGAAAAAGAAGAAAAAAAUCCAAAGCAAAAUUUACAUAUAAUCAGUCCAAAGCAACAUAAAAAAAUUCUCCAUAUUCAAAGAGCAUAGCAUAUAUGUACAUGAAAACACUUCAAAA